This 225-nucleotide ribosomal RNA is filed under the name Triticum aestivum (bread wheat). Its description in RNAcentral is "partial small subunit ribosomal RNA". Lineage: Eukaryota; Viridiplantae; Streptophyta; Magnoliopsida; Poales; Poaceae. The record is from RNAcentral.
AUGCAGGACAGAUCUAAGCUCCCCUGCCUCCGUUGCUCCCUUUCCCCCGACCAGAUCUUCCUCUUGCAUUCUGGCACCUCGCCGGCGUGGCUCCGGCGUUGCUCUGGCGACUCAGAUCCAACACACCGUGGUUGCUCGAGCACCGGGACGCCAUCGACGGGAUGUCUUCCUCCUCACCUCAUCUUGUCUCCCUCACACAACGAUGCAGCUUCACCGCUACCCUGA